AGGAGGGUUGAUUGACAUGAAGUUUGUUCGACAAUUUAUUGAGUGGAGGUGGGCUUUCCUAGCAAGCAAGUUGUCUACAAAUGAUCCCCGACACAGGAUGUAUACAAAAAAGCUUGGCGCAUGUAGUACAAAUAGUAUACAUUGGUUAUGUCUAUUACCUAUGAUUAUGUGUUUCAAUUUGUAAGUUUAGUUAUCAUGUACUUGGUUUGUAUCCACUAUGUAGAUGAUUGUUUCGUCAUGUUUGUUUGUGUCUAUGGCGUUUUAACA
This 267-nucleotide long non-coding RNA is filed under the name Hordeum vulgare. RNAcentral's name for it is "long non-coding RNA (HVUL_LNC000996)". Lineage: Eukaryota; Viridiplantae; Streptophyta; Magnoliopsida; Poales; Poaceae. The record is from RNAcentral.